UGAGAUAAGUGGCUAUGUUCUACGGAAUGCUUCUGCUGUGACCCUCUGCCUUUCCUCAGACCAAAGCAACGAGGCCAACCAACCACUGCCUGGCAAUCGCCCAAACUUUUGUGUGUCGUCAGCAGAGACUCUCAAGGCUUCACUUGAUGACCAGACUCUGAGGGAAGAUGUGGGUGCUAUCAGUCAAGGUCUUAAACAUCUCAAAUGAAGAUGAAGUUUAAGGACUUCUUCACAGUGCUUCAGGGAACAAAACCAUAUUCUGCCUAGGAAACCUUCCAUGUGAGCCUCAAAGGAUUAUUACAGAUGAAAGCCUGCAGAAAUCCAGCAGCAGAUUCCACAAAAGGGCAAGCCAACAAGACCUUGCCAAUCAUUAGGAGGCUGAACACAUAUGCACACAUUGUCCGGAGUGAGGCCAAAGAGGCUGGACUAGGACAAAAGUCAUAGACUGAGGUUGUGCAUGGGAAAAACAGUCAGAUGCAGCUCAUCUCAGUGAAUAAAAUGCUUAAAACACACUGUGAAUAAAUACAGUAGGGGAACCCUUUUUAUUUUUUUAAAAGCUAAUGAACUAGAAGCCUGAGUUAGAAGUAUGACCUCAAAACCAUCGUACAAGCAAAAACUAUGACAAUGAUUAAAGCUGAACACAUGAAAGAUGAAUAUAGAAAAGCCUGAGAGACAUGAGGAGAUGAAAUGAACAGAAACAAGGCAACAGUUUAAUUCACUGUCAGUCAUGAGAUUCUGUGAUUUCUGAAAAGGUUAAUUUUGUACUUAAAAUACUAGAGGAACCAGAAAUAUACUCAUUACAAGGAAACCUCACCUGGACCGUCCUGUGGUGAAACUGAGAAACAUCAAAGAUAAUGUGGCCACAAACUUUCCCAAAUGCAUGGCACACCUCCCUUGGAUGCUGUGGACUAAAACAGAGGAGCAUCAGUGAAAAGGAGCUCAUAGCAAUGCAGACGGGGACACAAGAGCAGGCUGCAGCGAAGAUGACAGCUUUGCAGCACCACCAAGGCAAACAUGUCUCGGUGAAAGUAUAGCAUUAAGGUACAGUUUAACCAUCCAACGAUCUACUUAAAGUUUUUAAAAAUUGGUUUUACGAUAAGGAAGACAUUCAAAAUGGAAUUGCUGAUAAUCUCUGAAAAGAAAAACUGUGAUAGAUACUAGGAUGCUGAGGUGGUUGAAGGGAAGGGGUAAAUGAUUUAGCCAUAUUAUAAAAACAUAAAAUUAAAAAAACCACACAUUUAAAGAUGUAGACAAGGGGGCUGGUAUAUCAGUGGUUAAGGGAGCUUGUUGCUCUUCCAGAGGACCUUGUUUCAUUUCCCAGA
Long non-coding RNA from Mesocricetus auratus (golden hamster), 1322 nucleotides. RefSeq lists it as uncharacterized. The transcript is spliced from 3 exons. The record is from RefSeq and is a predicted model, not a curated record. NCBI's taxonomy places the organism in Eukaryota, Metazoa, Chordata, Mammalia, Rodentia, Cricetidae.